CUACGGGCGGCAGCCAGUGAGGAAUUUUGCGCAAUGGGGGAAACCCUGACGCAGCAACGCCGCGUGAGUGAUGAAGGCCUUCGGGUCGUAAAACUCUGUCAAGUGGGAAGAACCUAUGUAAGGUUAAUACCCUUAUGUACUGACGGUACCACUGAAGGAAGCACCGGCUAACCCCGUGCCAGCAGCCGCGGUAAUACGGAGGGUGCAAGCGUUAUUCGGAAUUAUUGGGCGUAAAGGGCGCGCAGGCGGUUUUGUAAGUCAGAUGUGAAAGCCCGGGGCUUAACCUCGGAAGUGCAUUUGAUACUGCAAGACUUGAGUAUGGGAGGGGGAAGUGGAAUUCCUGGUGUAGAGGUGAAAUUCGUAGAUAUCAGGAGGAACACCAGUGGCGAAGGCGACUUCCUGGACCAAUACUGACGCUGAGGCGCGAAGGCGUGGGGAGCAAACAGGAUUAGAUACCCGGGUAGUC
This 466-nucleotide ribosomal RNA is filed under the name uncultured bacterium. RNAcentral describes it as "partial 16S ribosomal RNA". It matches the Rfam family "Bacterial small subunit ribosomal RNA", at positions 339 to 795 of the family's 1533-position model. The record is from RNAcentral.